GGGGGUGAUAUGGCUUCGACGUGGGUCGCGAAACUCCGAGUGCAUGCCGAGGGACAGAUUACCUCGUAAAACCAGCUGUAAAAACCAUAGUUGCCAACGACGACAACUACGCACUAGCUGCUUAAAAACCAGUUUAGUGCCCUCUGACCAAACGUGCCUGUGCGUC
This 166-nucleotide transfer-messenger RNA is filed under the name Gammaproteobacteria bacterium. Its description in RNAcentral is "partial transfer-messenger RNA". It matches the Rfam family "transfer-messenger RNA", at positions 1 to 173 of the family's 374-position model. From Rfam's summary of the family: Bacterial tmRNA, also known as 10Sa RNA or SsrA, is named for its dual tRNA and mRNA-like properties. Its role is to liberate the mRNA from a stalled ribosome. Lineage: Bacteria; Pseudomonadati; Pseudomonadota; Gammaproteobacteria. The record is from RNAcentral.